RNAcentral lists this ribosomal RNA (1065 nucleotides) under Triticum aestivum (bread wheat). RNAcentral describes it as "partial small subunit ribosomal RNA". The record is from RNAcentral. Lineage: Eukaryota; Viridiplantae; Streptophyta; Magnoliopsida; Poales; Poaceae.
AUGUAUCAUCAUCAACAACAGCUCCAGAGCCACAACCAGCUCUUAGCUUCUAGGCAGACUUUCCCUUCAGAGAGGCACUUACUUUUGCAAGGAGGAAUUAUUCCAGGAGAGUCAGGGCUUAUACUCUCAACUGAUGCUAAACCCAGGUUAAAAUGGACCCCUGAGCUACAUGAUCGUUUCGUGGAGGCAGUAAAUCAACUCGGCGGACCAGACAAAGCCACCCCAAAAACCAUUAUGAGGCUCAUGGGUGUCCCUGGACUAACAUUAUAUCAUCUUAAGAGCCACCUCCAGAAAUACAGACUAAGCAAAAAUCUCCAUGUUCAAGCCAAUGUCGGAAAUUCAAGAACUGCCGCAGGAUGCACCAUAGCAACAGAGAAACAAUCUGAAGGAAAUGGAUCGCCAGUCGGCCACCACCUUAAUACACAGACAAACAAAUCAAUGCACAUAGGUGAAGCCCUACAGAUGCAAAUUGAAGUGCAGCGACGGCUACAUGAACAACUGGAGGUGCAAAGACACCUGCAACUCCGGAUUGAAGCACAAGGGAAGUACCUACAAUCAGUGUUGGAAAAGGCACACGAGACACUUGCAAAGCAGAAUACAGGCUCGGGUGGUCUAGAAACUGCAAAGAUGCAACUAUCAGAAUUGGUCUCAAAAGUAUCAACAGAAUGCUUCCAUAAUGCUUUUACAAGCUUUGAGGAGAUUGAGGGAUCACAGAUGCUACGAAGGCAGACCAUGCAGCUUGGUGAUGGAUCAGUUGACAGCUGCUUAACUGCAUGCGAGGGCUCACAAAAGGAUCAAGAUAUCCUGUCAAUGAGCCUUUCUGCUCAAAAAGGAAAGGAGAUUGGAGGCAUGGCAUUCGAUCUGCAAAUGAAAGAAAGAGGACACGAAGAUUUGUUUCUCAACAAGCUAAGCAGAAGGCCUCCAAACCACCAUGAAGGACACGAGAGGAGAGACAGCUUGAGUAUGACAUACCAGGCAACGAAAUUGGAUUUAAACAUGAAUGACACAAAUAAUGGAACUCAGAAUAGCAAGAAAUUCGAUUUAAAUGGGUUCAGCUGGAGCUAG